Molecule: long non-coding RNA, 576 nt
Organism: Mastomys coucha (southern multimammate mouse)
Lineage: Eukaryota; Metazoa; Chordata; Mammalia; Rodentia; Muridae
Exons: 4
Source: RefSeq, a predicted model, not a curated record
CUGCGCAUGCUCUUGACUUCUGAGGCCUCUCUCCAGAACCCCUCCCCAGCUCACCAAUGGUAGUCUAAUCAAUAUGCUCUUCUCCAGUGUUGCUUUGUAGCAGUGUGAGUGCCUUGCUUUUUAAAGUGCUAUCUAUGAGAAUAUUGAACCACGUUGUAAAAAGAGAAUACAGAUGAAAUCAUACUGGCUCGGUUGGCUCAGUGGAAAUCUUCAGCUGUCGUUCCACAUGGGCAGGAUCCAUUUGCAUCCCCGGUUCCUCUCACUAGACCAAGAUGACAUGUUGCACAAGAAAAAUCAGCAGAGACAGUAUUCCCAGCCACGUUUUCCAGAUGUUUAAAGAUGUUUGAGGCUCAGGCUCAUUCAAAAGUCAUCAGACACUAUGGAGAAAUAAGGAAAGGCUGAACCUGAGGUCUUGGAAUCUCUACCUUUAGGAAAACUUUCCAAACGUCUUCCCUCCCUAAAGAUAAACUUUCGUUCAGCUUCCAGUUACCAGAUCAGAGACUACCUAAGCCUUUGAAAAUGGAACGGACAUUUUAAUUUCUUUUCGGAAAAUAAAGAAAAGGCAUUUCCCUUGAA